Molecule: long non-coding RNA, 2581 nt
Organism: Pteropus alecto (black flying fox)
Lineage: Eukaryota; Metazoa; Chordata; Mammalia; Chiroptera; Pteropodidae
Exons: 2
Source: RefSeq, a predicted model, not a curated record
AUAUAAGAAAACAUUUAAGGAAAAUUUGGCUUGAUAUCAAACAAAAUGUCUGUAGUUAUGAAAAGUAUAUUUACAAAGAUCUCUUCAUAGCUAGGGGAAAUAUUUAUAAUAUUAAAUGAGAAAAGUAGGGCUAAAAACAUUUUAUGUAAAUGAACGUAAUUAAGUAAAAAGCAUAUGCAUGAAGAAGAGUGUAAAUACACUAACAUAUUAAUAUUGGGUUAUCUCCAAGUGAUGAGAUAAUGGACAGCUUCGAUUUUUCUUUUCUGGCAAUUUCUAAAAUGAGAAUGUGCUACUUUUCUCGUCAAAAAGAAAAAUCGUGCUAUUUUAAAAGACAUUUGAUAAGGGUGGGUCGCUCGCUAUUCCAGAGUGUAUCCAGCGUGUGUGACACCUCAUCAGUGGCUUCUGAGAUGUGCCAUCUUGAUCACAUCGUGGAGCUCGUUGAUUCGCCCCUCUGGACCUCAGCGGUCUCGUUUGCAAAAUGGGGAUACUCAUCUUCACCUGUCUAAAGGCAGGUGGCCAAAUCAGUUGCUAUUAGACAGGCUUUUCCAGCUCCGAUGUCUUCUGGUCUCUGAGUAUCUCACAGGAACCUCCUUGCAGAGGCCACUUUUCUCCAAGUAUGGACACAUGUGAUUAGGGCGGGAUUAACUGGAGAACAAGGAGGGGGAAGGCAGCAUGCUUCUCCACUCAUGGCACUGAGCAGGCGACAGUCAAGGACUAAUUCAAGGGCCACAGCUGCCCUGAGCCUGACCAGGCCUGCCGGAGCCAUCAACCUGGACAGUUGUUUCAGAGAAGGGAGUCGGCUCUGUCCUUUCUUUCUUCUUCUCGGACGGUGGCCCUGCCAGCUCUCCUUUACCACAGGGCCGUUUGGUGCUGGUCUCAGGACUUCCGAGGCAGGGGGCACAUCUGCAGUUCUCUCCUCUAAAAUAUUUGAGGUGCAAACAGCCCAGGAGUACAAUUCCGUGUGCUUCCUGCCUCCCUUCACCCCUCACCCAUAGGAAUCAGAGGAAGACAACAGCUUUUCUUCUGAAAACUCAAGAGCUAGAAUGGAAAUACGGCAUCCACUUUGAGCCUGGUGGGACAGACAGGCUGUCCCGGGGCAAACACCCAGUCUUGGCCUCCUACCUGGGAUUAGCAGGGCAGGCAUGUGAUUAACUUGCGGUCACAAGACCCUGUGUGGGACUAAUCUUGAGGAACAUUCUUGCCAAGCUGCACAUCAGCUGUGAGGGCCCAGGAAUACCCCCGCAGUGCCAGGUAAAGGCAGUGAGAUGGGCCAAGCAGAUGUGCAUGGAGCCCACCACCGGGGUCGGAUCCACGCCCCACCUCCUCCUAGCGGUGUGACUGGGAAAAUCACCCAAACUCUCUAAGUGCCAGUUUCCCUACUUAUAAAAUGAGAAUCCUAAUGGCUCCUACUACACAAAGUCCAGCGAGGACUAAAUGAGAUAAUGUGUGGGCAGAGCUUACCCCGUGUCGGCAGGUAACAAGGGCUCGAGAAAUGACUAGCUCUUUUUUUUAUGAAGCUCUUUUUUGGGCUCAGCACCCCUGCGGGCAGUGACGGGGAUACAAAAGGUUAAACCACAGUUCUCUCUCCGGUGAGGUCGGUCGGACUACCCCCAGGAAAUAGUUAAACAGCUAAGCAGCAGCGGGUGAUUAAAUGCAAAAGCUACUGGGAGGCAGCAAUGCUAUUUUUAAUACCAACUUGCUGGAAGCAACCCAAGUGCCCAGCCAUCCUGUAAUGACUAAGCAAACCUGAAAUUUUGUGACAUGACAGCCCACUGCAGAGCCGUUGGAAGUGGCAGGCAUGCUCCUGAUGUCCAUACAUGGAAAUGUGCCUCCGAAAUAAACAUUUCCAGAGGGGAGUCGCACCGUGGCACGUGCACGCUGUUUGCUGUAAGUGGUAAAUAUAGAGAUGCCGGCGAGACUCUCAGGUCCCUCUCGCUGCUCGUUGCACUGGACAGCCACACCAGCCUCUGACAGAACCAUCGAGAAAAGGAAAACAUGACAGAAAAUUCAUGUUCACAAAAAUCUGGAAGCACAGUAUUGCAGUAUCCUCUCUGGUCUCCUCUCUGUUCCACCCCUCCCCCACCAAGGCAUUUCUUCAUUUGACUUCUCAAAUUGUCUCAGACACCAAAAAAACCCACGUCGCCCAAAAGUAAAUGCCUGGUUUUUUCCCAGUCCUGGCUGCCAGACCCUCCUGAUGUCUCCUGAGGUUCCACAUCCAUGAACGGCAUCAACAUCCAUCCCUGAAAUGACGUAAGCCGGAAAACUAAGUCGUCUGUAUCAUUGCCUUUUUUCUCACCACCCAAACCAACCCAUUGCCAAGCGCCAUUUCACUUCCAAAAUAUCUCUAAAUCCACCCACUGCUCACUGCCCCUACUGCCGCCACCUUAAUCCAGGUGUCUUUAUCUCUUACCUGGACGACUGUGGUGGCCACCUUCUGGGCCCAGUCAGAUUCCCUUCCCAUCUGAUUCCCCGACUGCACUAUAAAGAUCUUUUCUAACGUAUGGCUGAUUCUAGCACGCUCUGCUUAAAGACCUCCAAUAGCUUCCCAUCGCUCUUAAAAUAAAAAGCAAUUUUCUAAUAA